This is a long non-coding RNA of Lucilia cuprina (Australian sheep blowfly), 896 nucleotides long. RefSeq lists it as uncharacterized. The record is from RefSeq and is a predicted model, not a curated record. NCBI's taxonomy places the organism in Eukaryota, Metazoa, Arthropoda, Insecta, Diptera, Calliphoridae. The transcript has 2 exons.
UAUUUUCUCUCAGUGUAUUUGUUUAUUUCUUUACCAUUCGUCAUUUAACCCCCAAACACUUCCCAAAAAUCUAAUUGGAAACAAAAACAAACAACUGUUAUCGUAAACAGCUGUUCAACUACUUUUACUAAACAACUAUGUAAGUGUUUUUUGUUGCUCGUUCGCUCUCUCUCUUUCUCUCCCUUUAACAACGCCAUAUUGCCUUUGCAAGAAGACAAAAAACGACGAUUAUUAUCAAUUGUGCUUUUCAAGAGGUUAUAUUAGCUGCGCUACAUUAUAAAGCAAUUCAUUGUGAAAUAAUUGCGAAACGUUUUUCGAAUAAAAAAGUUUAUACAAAUAUUUCAAAAUUUUCUGUGCAUUUUAUAUACAAACAAAAUUAAAACGUUAACAGUGUUUUAUUUGUGCAAACAAAUUAAAAUAAAACAAGUUAAUUAAUUUGUUUCUUCUUCUUUUUCUGCUACACACAAAAAAAUUCACAUAAUUUUUUUUUGUGCUGAGUGCAAAGGCAGUGAUAAAUAAAAGAAAAAAAUUCCAUUUCUUUUUUUUAUAAAAAUAAGAACAACAACAAAAACAAAAAGAAACUCUUCCUCAUUUAGUUUUUUGUUUUACAACUUUUUGUUUUAUUAAAUUCUCUUUUUGUUUAAAAACAAAAAACUUAAAAAAAACUUUUAAUUAAAAAAAAAAAACAUUAAAACUUUUCAAAAAGAAAAUUUGCGUAAUAUAACGUUAAAUUCAUAUACAAUUCAUAUUAAGUUUUGUUUUUGAGUUUUUUUCUUUCGCUUAUUUCAUUUAUUAUCUUAAGUGGAUUCUUUGUGAAUUAACAAACAAAUCAACACCACCACCCCCAGCCCGUGCAAAGGAAUAUAUUUUUUAUAUGACUUUUGAAAGAAUAAUAG